Molecule: ribosomal RNA, 683 nt
Filed under: Oncopsis sp. 9-1
Lineage: Eukaryota; Metazoa; Arthropoda; Insecta; Hemiptera; Cicadellidae
Description: eukaryotic LSU rRNA
Rfam family: Eukaryotic large subunit ribosomal RNA
Source: RNAcentral
UCUGUAGUGCAGCCCUAAGUAGGUGGUAAACUCCAUCUAAGGCUAAAUAUGACCACGAGACCGAUAGAAAACAAGUACCGUGAGGGAAAGUUGAAAAGGACUUUGUAGAGAGAGUUCAAGAGUACGUGAAACCGUUCAGGGGUAAACGGAAAAGACUUUAAGCACCGAAAGGGGAGAUUCACGCUUUCUCGCAUGAGUCGGCUCCUGCGCGGCCAGAUGGCGCCGUUCGCCCGCUCGGAGCAAUCCGUUGCGGGGUCGUUUCGGUGAUCACUCGGUCCGCGCGGGGGUUAUGCCGGCCGCGGUGAGCCGCACUUCUCCCUCAGUAGGACGUAGCGACCCGUUGGUUGGCGGUCGACGGACCCGGGUGUAGACCGUCGCCAGGUCCUCGGACCUCGGUUGGCGGACCCUGGGAUACCUGACCGAUCAACAGACGGUCUGAAACGCAGGUGUUGUACCGCCCCCCCUGGCGGCAGGGCGUCCGGGUCGGCGCAAGCUUGGGUACGUCUCAGGAUGACGGACUUCGGUCCGGCUCUUGUGCGUCCCGGCUGUUGGUGUCGCACCCUCGGACGGUGUAGUAUAACACUGGUCGGCUACGGCAGUUUAAGGUACUUAUCCGACCCGUCUUGAAACACGGACCAAGGAGUCUAACAUGUGCGCGAGUCAUUUGGUUUUCAAACCAAAAG